UACGGAGGGUGCAAGCGUUGUCCGGAUUUAUUGGGUUUAAAGGGUGCGUAGGCGGUUCUUUAAGUCAGUGGUGAAAGCCUCCAGCUUAACUGGAGAAAUGCCAUUGAUACUGAAGAACUUGAGUACAGACGAGGUAGGCGGAAUUGACAGUGUAGCGGUGAAAUGCAUAGAUAUUGUCAAGAACACCGAUUGCGAAGGCAGCUUACUAGACUGUAACUGACGCUGAGGCACGAAAGUGCGGGGAUCAAACAGG
This 253-nucleotide ribosomal RNA is filed under the name uncultured bacterium. RNAcentral describes it as "partial 16S ribosomal RNA". It matches the Rfam family "Bacterial small subunit ribosomal RNA", at positions 524 to 776 of the family's 1533-position model. The record is from RNAcentral.